RNAcentral lists this ribosomal RNA (2906 nucleotides) under Gammaproteobacteria bacterium. Its description in RNAcentral is "23S ribosomal RNA". It matches the Rfam family "Bacterial large subunit ribosomal RNA". The record is from RNAcentral. Lineage: Bacteria; Pseudomonadati; Pseudomonadota; Gammaproteobacteria.
GGUCAAGUGAAUAAGCGCAUACGGUGGAUGCCUAGGCGGUAGGAGGCGAUGAAAGACGUGGUAGCCUGCGAAAAGCCUCGGGGAGCUGGCAAACAAGCUUUGAUCCGAGGAUAUCUGAAUGGGGGAACCCACCGGUCAUAAGACCGGUAUCGUACACUGAAUACAUAGGUGUACGAGGCGAACCUGGGGAACUGAAACAUCUAAGUACCCAGAGGAAAAGAAAUCAACCGAGAUUCCCUAAGUAGCGGCGAGCGAACGGGGAACAGCCUUCAAGUAAUAGCAAUUUUCUUAGUGGAGCAGUCUGGAAAGUCUGGCCAUAGUGGGUGAUAGCCCCGUACACGAAAAGAGAGUUGUGGUACUGAGCUUGAGACAAGUAGGUCGGAGCACGUGAAACUUUGACUGAACAUGGGGGGACCAUCCUCCAAGGCUAAAUACUCCCUACCGACCGAUAGUGAACCAGUACCGUGAGGGAAAGGCGAAAAGAACCCCGUUUAGGGGAGUGAAAUAGAUCCUGAAACCGUAUGCGUACAAGCAGUGGGAGCAGACUUGUUCUGUGACUGCGUACCUUUUGUAUAAUGGGUCAGCGACUUACUACUCAGUGGCAAGCUUAACCGAUAGGGGAGGCGUAGCGAAAGCGAGUCUUAAUAGGGCGAAUUAGUCGCUGGGUGUAGACCCGAAACCGGGCGAUCUAUCCAUGGCCAGGGUGAAGGUGAGGUAACACUUACUGGAGGCCCGAACCCACUUAUGUUGAAAAAUGAGGGGAUGAGCUGUGGAUCGGAGUGAAAGGCUAAUCAAGCCCGGAGAUAGCUGGUUCUCCUCGAAAGCUAUUUAGGUAGCGCCUCGUGUAUCACUUCUGGGGGUAGAGCACUGUUAUGGCUAGGGGGUCAUCCCGACUUACCAACCCAUUGCAAACUCCGAAUACCAGAAAGUGCAAUCACGGGAGACACACGGCGGGUGCUAACGUCCGUCGUGGAGAGGGAAACAACCCAGACCGCCAGCUAAGGUCCCAAAGUUAUUGCUCAGUGGGAAACGAUGUGGAAAGGCCCAGACAGCCAGGAGGUUGGCUUAGAAGCAGCCAUCCUUUAAAGAAAGCGUAAUAGCUCACUGGUCGAGUCGGUCUGCGCGGAAGAUUUAACGGGGCUAAGCAAUACACCGAAGCUGCGGAUGCACAGUUUACUGUGCAUGGUAGAGGAGCGUUCCGUAAGCCGUCGAAGGUGAACUGUAAGGUUUGCUGGAGGUAUCGGAAGUGCGAAUGCUGACAUGAGUAACGAUAAAGGGGGUGAGAGGCCCCCUCGCCGAAAGUCCAAGGUUUCCUGCGCAACGCUAAUCGGCGCAGGGUUAGUCGGCCCCUAAGGCGAGGCAGAAAUGCGUAGUCGAUGGAAAGCAGGUCAAUAUUCCUGCACCUCUUAUAACUGCGAUGAAGGGACGGAGAAGGCUAGAUCAUCCGGAGAUUGGUUGUUCCGGUUUAAGCGAGUAGGGAGUGAACUUAGGUAAAUCCGGGUUCACACUAUCCUGAGACGUGAUGACGAGCUCACUUGUGAGUGAAGUGAUUGAUGCCAUGCUUCCUAGAAAAGCUUCUAAGCUUCAGGUUAUAAGAGACCGUACCCCAAACCAACACAGGUGGACAGGGUGAGAAUCCUAAGGCGCUUGAGAGAACUCGGGUGAAGGAACUAGGCAAAAUGGCACCGUAACUUCGGGAGAAGGUGCGCCCCAAUUAGGUGAAGUGACUUGCUCACGGAGCUGAACGGGGUUGAAGAGACCAGGUGGCUGCAACUGUUUACUAAAAACAUAGCACUCUGCAAACUCGAAAGAGGACGUAUAGGGUGUGACGCCUGCCCGGUGCCGGAAGGUUAAUUGAUGAGGUUAGUCUUCGGACGAAGCUUUUGAUCGAAGCCCCGGUAAACGGCGGCCGUAACUAUAACGGUCCUAAGGUAGCGAAAUUCCUUGUCGGGUAAGUUCCGACCUGCACGAAUGGCGUAAUGACGGCCACACUGUCUCCACCCGAGACUCAGUGAAAUUGAAUUCGCUGUUAAGAUGCAGCGUACCCGCGGCUAGACGGAAAGACCCCGUGAACCUUUACUACAGCUUUGCACUGAACGCUGAACCUACUUGUGUAGGAUAGCUGGGAGGCAUCGAAGCGGUCACGCCAGUGAUCGUGGAGCCAACCUUGAAAUACCAGCCUGGUAUGUUUGGCGUUCUAACCUCGACCCGUUAUCCGGGUUAGGGACAGUGUAUGGUGGGUAGUUUGACUGGGGCGGUCUCCUCCUAAAGAGUAACGGAGGAGCGCGACGGUACCCUAAGCACGGUCGGAAAUCGUGCGUUUAGUGCAAAGGCAUAAGGGUGCUUAACUGCGAGACAGACACGUCGAGCAGGUACGAAAGUAGGUCUUAGUGAUCCGGUGGUUCUGAAUGGAAGGGCCAUCGCUCAACGGAUAAAAGGUACUCCGGGGAUAACAGGCUGAUUCCUCCCAAGAGUCCAUAUCGACGGAGGAGUUUGGCACCUCGAUGUCGGCUCAUCACAUCCUGGGGCUGUAGCAGGUCCCAAGGGUAUGGCUGUUCGCCAUUUAAAGUGGUACGCGAGCUGGGUUUAGAACGUCGUGAGACAGUUCGGUCCCUAUCUGCCGUGGGCGUUGGAAGUUUGAGGGAAGCUGCUCCUAGUACGAGAGGACCGGAGUGGACGUACCCCUGGUGUUCGGGUUGUCAUGCCAAUGGCAUUGCCCGGUAGCUACGUACGGACGGGAUAAGCGCUGAAAGCAUCUAAGCGCGAAGCCCCUCCCAAGAUGAGACUUCCCAGGAACCUUGAGUUCCCUAAAGGUCCGUUGGAGACUACGACGUUGAUAGGCACGGUGUGGAAGCGCAGUAAUGCGUGAAGCUAACGUGUACUAAUUGACCGUGAGGCUUGACCAU